RNAcentral lists this ribosomal RNA (253 nucleotides) under uncultured bacterium. RNAcentral's name for it is "partial 16S ribosomal RNA". It matches the Rfam family "Bacterial small subunit ribosomal RNA", at positions 524 to 776 of the family's 1533-position model. The record is from RNAcentral.
UACGAAGGGUGCAAGCGUUACUCGGAAUUACUGGGCGUAAAGCGUGCGUAGGUGGUGAGUUAAGUCUGAUGUGAAAUCCCCGGGCUCAACCUGGGAAUGGCAUUGGAUACUGGCUCGCUAGAGUGCGGUAGAGGGUGGUGGAAUUCCCGGUGUAGCAGUGAAAUGCGUAGAGAUCGGGAGGAACAUCUGUGGCGACGGCGGCCACCUGGACCAACACUGACACUGAGGCACGAAAGCGUGGGGAGCAAACAGG